CCCUUAGAUGUUCUGGGCCGCACGCGCGCUACACUGAUGCAUUCAACGAGCCUAUCCUUGACCGACAGGUCCGGGUAAUCUUUGAAUCUGCAUCGUGACGGGGAUAGAUUAUUGCAAUUAUUAAUCUUCAACGAGGAAUGCCUAGUAGGCGCAAGUCAUCAGCUUGCGUCGAUUACGUCCCUGCCCUUUGUACACACCGCCCGUCGCUCCUACCGAUUGGGUGUGCUGGUGAAAUGUUCGGAUCGGCCGUUUGUCGCGGUUUCCGCGGCAUGUGGCUGAGAAGUUCAUUAAACCCUCCCACCUAGAGGAAGGAGAAGUCGUAACA
Molecule: ribosomal RNA, 325 nt
Filed under: uncultured eukaryote
Lineage: Eukaryota
Description: partial 18S ribosomal RNA
Rfam family: Eukaryotic small subunit ribosomal RNA
Source: RNAcentral